UUUAUAAAACUCAGAGUCAGAAAGAACUUUUGACGGUAAUAAUCGAACCGAUAGAUCUAGAUUGUUCUCUUCUGCAUGCUUGAUUGUCGAAAGUAUUAAUGGAUGAUGUUGAAGGAUUGUAUCAGAAUUUUGAUAUUCACGGCAAAAGAAGGUAAACGAACGUUCAAAAUCAGCAAACUUCUGGCAUGUAAGUUCCAAUUCUUUUCCUUUUGAUGGUGAAUUUAAAUCAAUCGUUGAACGAUCGUCCACAGAUUCCAUAGCCAAAUAAGCAGUAAAAUAACAACU
Molecule: non-coding RNA, 285 nt
Organism: Schizosaccharomyces pombe (fission yeast)
Lineage: Eukaryota; Fungi; Ascomycota; Schizosaccharomycetes; Schizosaccharomycetales; Schizosaccharomycetaceae
Source: the annotation of a GenBank genome assembly